Molecule: ribosomal RNA, 338 nt
Filed under: uncultured Anaerolineaceae bacterium
Lineage: Bacteria; Bacillati; Chloroflexota; Anaerolineae; Anaerolineales; Anaerolineaceae
Description: bacterial SSU rRNA
Rfam family: Bacterial small subunit ribosomal RNA
Source: RNAcentral
UAUACAGGUUGUUGCAUGGCUGUCGUCAGCUCGUGUCGUGAGAUGUUCGGUUAAGUCCGCUAACGAGCGCAACCCUCGUCGUAUGUUAUAUGUGUCAUACGAGACUGCCGGUAAAAGCCGGAGGAAGGUGAGGAUGAUGCCAAGUCAGCAUGACCUUUAUAUCCAGGGCUACACACACGCUACAAUGGUCUGUACAAUGGGUAGCCAAGCCGCGAGGCGGAGCCAAUCCUGAAAGCAGGCCUCAGUUCAGAUUGCAGUCUGCAACUCGACUGCAUGAAGCCGGAGUUGCUAGUAACCGCAGGUCAGCAAUACUGCGGUGAAUACGUUCCCGGGUCGUU